AUCCAGAAGGAGAGCAAUGCCGGGACGCAGGUGACGGUGAGCUCCCCGCUCGUCGCGGGCCGCGUCAUCGCCGCGGUUGCCGCGGCGAUCUC
This 92-nucleotide small RNA is filed under the name Sinorhizobium meliloti 2011. RNAcentral's name for it is "putative ncRNA". Lineage: Bacteria; Pseudomonadati; Pseudomonadota; Alphaproteobacteria; Hyphomicrobiales; Rhizobiaceae. The record is from RNAcentral.